RNAcentral lists this unclassified non-coding RNA (379 nucleotides) under uncultured Gammaproteobacteria bacterium. RNAcentral describes it as "contains 16S-23S intergenic spacer region". Lineage: Bacteria; Pseudomonadati; Pseudomonadota; Gammaproteobacteria. The record is from RNAcentral.
UCCGGUUUGUCACCGGCAGUCCCACUAAAGUGCCUAACUUAAUAAGGGCAAUUAGUAGCAAGGGUUGCGCUCGUUGCGGGACUUAACCCAACAUCUCACGACACGAGCUGACGACAGCCAUGCAGCACCUGUGUCCCAGUUCCCUUUCGGGCACCCCAACCUCUCAGUUAGGUCCUGGGCAUGUCAAAAGUAGGUAAGGUUUUUCGCGUUGCAUCGAAUUAAUCCACAUCAUCCACCGCUUGUGCGGGUCCCCGUCAAUUCCUUUGAGUUUUAAUCUUGCGACCGUACUCCCCAGGCGGGCAACUUCUCGCGUUAACUACGGUACUAAGAAAGUCUCCUUCCCCAACACCUAGUUGCCAUCGUUUAGGGCGUGGACUAC